This 38107-nucleotide long non-coding RNA is filed under the name Cucumis sativus (cucumber). RNAcentral describes it as "long non-coding RNA (CSAT_LNC002451)". The record is from RNAcentral. Lineage: Eukaryota; Viridiplantae; Streptophyta; Magnoliopsida; Cucurbitales; Cucurbitaceae.
CGGCCGAUCCGCCGUCCACGCCUACAAAAACCACACCGUCGGCGAUUCCCUCGGCUGGUUCGACAAAUUGGAGAAACCUGCCGUCGAUUACCAGGAAUGGACCGCCGGUAAAACCUUCGGCCUCGGUGAUUUUCUAAGUAAGUUAUUCUAAUUCCCCUGUUUUCUCUAAUUAAUCAUGCUUCGCAAUGACUCUUUGCUCUCUCUGUUAAUUCCUGUUUUGAUUUCGUAAACUCUCUCUCUCUGGAUAUUUCGAAUUCUCUGUUUUUGAUUUUUGAUUCAUCUUUUCACGAACUUGAAAAUUCGGAUCGCGGUUUUUCUAAGAACUCGUAAAUUUCACGUGAUUCGAUUUUGUGAAUCCUCUCGUUCAAGUUUAGCAUCUAUGUUUUUGGUUUUGAAUUAAAACUUUUAUUGCUUAUCGUUUUCUCGAAAAUGUGUGGUCCUUGUGCAAUUUUUCUUGUUGUUUCAAUCGAUCUCUUUACUUCUUUUUCGUGUGUUUUUCUUUUUAUUGUAUCGAUAUAAUUCUUACCUAAUUAAUUAAUUUUUGUUAGUUUUCCUCUCUCUCUCUAUAUAUAUUGUUUUUACCUUUAGAAAAAACCUCUAAAUAUAACUUUUGUGUUUUUUUCAUCAUAAACUAUGAUAAAUUUUAGCAUAACAGAAAAAAUAUCAAACUAUUUACCAAUAUAGUAAAAAAAAAAUUGAUUGGUAGACACAAAUAUUCUUGUUUAUAAUAAAUUUAUAUUCAUAUUCAUCAACUUUUAUUAAAAAUAAUCAUUCUAUAAACUACUUUUCUAAUAGACUUCUAUUCACAUUUAUUGUAACAGUAAUUAAUAAUUAAUGACUAAAAAAUUAUUUAUAGUAAAUAACUAAAAAAUUUAUAUAGUUUGAUCAAUAAUGUUCUUAAUUUUAAAGUACAUUUCUUUAAAAAAAUUAAUUUCAUAGUGAUUGAGAUUAUAAUAACAAAAACUCAACCAAUAUUUUAAACAAAUCACAAUGGAACAAAUUUGACUUUGGUACGUCACUUUUUAACCUAACGUGUGAAAUUUGGCGGUUUUAAAUCAUUGAUUUGAAUAAUUUCCACUCAUGCAAUUACAUUGUUAUAAUCAAAUAACAAUAAUAACGCGAUGAUGAUUUCUAUUAUUAGCAUUAAUUCUAUACUUUAUAAUGUUUGCGUCAUAUCCACACAACCAAUUUUAACAUCAUAAUAACUAAUAACUUUAUUGAGUAACUUUUCUUUGAAGGUUGAAUUUUGUAUAUUUAAUAUUCUAAAUAUAAAUGUAGUAAGUAAAAAAAAAAAGUACAUGGUUUAUUUUCUGAAAAUGGAGUUUCGAUUUUAGUUGGUUUUGGAUAGUAAAUGGUUGAAAAGAGAAAGUUCAAUAAUACAAAGAGAAACCCUAUUUUGUUUUUAAAUUUUUUUAUAUAUAUUAUCGAAGUCAAAAAUUAAAGAAAUAAAUAAAUAGAUAGCACCAACCGUACGUACCCCAUGUUGUUUUUUUUUCUUGGAGAAUGAUUUUGACAGCUAAACUAACAUGACGGUGCCUAUUUCCAUAUUGAUUUUAUUCAAAUUAUAGAUUUAAUCAUCCAACUUUAUAGUUCAAUGUUAUUUUCUUUUUAAUUAAAAGCUUAGAACUUUCAUUAAACAUCGCAUUCGAACUUGUAUCUUAAUUUCAUACUAAUUUCAAAACUUUAAACAUAUCAUAAAUAUUAGGAGUAAACAUUUGUUGAUUAUAGUCGAUUUUUUUAUCAAAUCACACAUCGAACCAACUAAACUAUGGUCGAUUUGAUAUACGUUUAAAUUAAUCUAGAAUAAAAAAUUAGUUUGUUAGUUUACUUCCUUAAUGAACUUUUUUGAUUUAAAAUUUUUCGACUAUUAAUAUUGAAAUUUUUAAAAAUUAAUAAAAUAAAAUAAAAUAUCUACAUGUUAUAUUAUAAUAUAGAACGACAAAAAUCCAUAGAUUUUUAUCACAUAGUCUAUCAAUAUUGAAUAUUAAAAUUUGCUAUAUGCUUAACUUUUUUUUCUGUCAAAUUUGAUAUAUUUUUUUUUCACAAUUCUUCACUAAUAUUUUAAAACAAAUAAAAUGAUUUCAAUUAGUGGACUAAAACUGUAAUUGGACUUUACUUUUUGUUUCUAAAUUACAUAUACAAUUUCAAAGUUUUUAAAGAUAUCGUAAAUAGUUUUAAUAUCAAUUUAAAUGUUUAGAGGUCUAUUAAUAUUUGAAAAGAAAUUGACUACAAUUAGUGGACUAAAUUUUUAAUUUGACUUUAUCUUUUUUUAAAAAAAAUAAAUUUUUUGUUUAAUUUUACUUUUUGUUUUUCUAAUGUUUGCACCAUGCACGCAACUGUGGUAUUCUUAAGCUAGCUUGUACCACGUGUUGGGAUACAAUUGGUUGUUAAAGAGAAAUGUCGGCAAUGCACAUGCAUGUGAUUGCGUGUCAUCCAUGUGCCGCUUUGUUGUAAAGCUCUAAACUUCGAAUGCCGUAAAAACUUAUUUUGAUUUUUUUUUAGUACGAAAGUUCAUCCCUUAAUUUUCUUUGAAGUACAAACAUUUAGUGAAUUUUUAAAUCUUACAAAUAAUUGUUUGGUUAAAUUGCAAAUUUUGUCUCGUAGAGAUCUAGGUAGGUUGGAAUCAAUAAAAAAAAAAGUAUUUUUCAAAAACUCAUUUUUAUUUAAAUGUUCUUGUUCAACCGCUUAAAAUACACUAUUUUUCUAAAAUAUGACAUUUUUUAAAAAAUAAAACACUUGAGGAUGAAUUCCAUUAAAAAAAAAAAAGAACCUUUUAUCAAAUUAAAAAAAAAAGAACCUUUUAUCAAAUUAAAAAAACUAAGUUAUAAUUUAAAACAAUUUUAUUACAAUUAUAGAGACCCCGUUUAAUUUUAUAGCUUUUGUUUUUAUUAGUGUUUGAUAUCAAAUUUUAUGUCUACUAAAAAGAAGGUGUUGUGAAUUUGAAAUAUGAAGAAUAUAUUUGAUAACUAGUUAGUUUUUUCAGAAAUAAGCUAGUAAUUCAUCAACAUUACUUCCCUCUCUAGUCUUAGUUCAAAACAAAAACAAAAAAUAUAGAGAUACUAUUGAAAACAAAGUAAGUUUUUGAAAACUAAAAAAAAGUCUAUUUUAUAAAAAUACUAUUAUUAAAACAAAUUAUAAGAAAAUAUAUAGAACUAGGAAAAACAAACACACAUACACAGAGAAAAAAUCACGUAGUUAUAAUCCAAUAGAGUUGAAAGUAAUUCAUUGAUUGUAUCAAAUUUCAUGUCUAUUGCGUGGAGAGAGAAAAUCGUGAAGUUGAGAAAAUUAAAAGCUUUAUUUCAUAACCCAUAAUCAUUUAGUUUUUAUUUUUUUAGUUAUCUAAUAAUCAUAUGCUUAUUUUAUUCUUUAGAAAGUAGUAAUGCUUAAUCUUAAUCUUCUUCUUCUUUUGGAUAAACUGAUUAUUUGAGGGUUGAAAACAAAAUUUACAAAAACGUUAUGAUAUUCGUUAUUUUGCAGUUUUCAACACGGACAACAACCACUCGGUUGUGCAAACAUACAAUGUCACCACAUACAAGCUUUGUGACUACGACGACGCAUCAGAUCACGAUACGACGGAAUGGUCUGCCGCUGAUCCGUCCGCAACCACUCCCUACCCCGUCACGGUGGCUGUCCCCUUGGUUAAAGAAGGCCCCAACUACUUCUUCUCUGGCAACUACGACGGAGAGCAGUGCCAAAAUGGGCAACAGUUCAACAUAAAUGUCACCCAUGGACAGGGCCUCCCUAAAAGCAUGAGAGAUCCUUCGGAGGAAGCUCCGGCUCCGGUAGUUCCUGACACCGGCGAUCAAACCGAAUCUGCACCAGACACCAUUAUCCCUUCCAGCUUCGACAAUCCUCGAAACGAUGUGGCCGAUAAUAAUAACGAUAAGGAAUCUUCCGGCUCCAAUUCGUUAUCGCUUAUUUAUUGCUUCAAGUUUAAUGAGUUUUUGUUCUUGUUAGUUGGUAUUGCUUCUGCCUGCUUUUUGUCUUUGUACUGAGUGAUUUUGUUUUUAUUGCUAUAUUUAUUUUUUAUUUAAUUGUUACGUUCUUCAAUAUUCAAAUAAUGUGGGUUUUCUCUUUUCUUGGUGUUCAAGCAAUACAUACUAUAUAUAUAUAGUUAGCUCUAUCGUAGGUUUUCCUUAGGGUUUUCUUCACUCUUUUUGUGCAUUUAUAUACAAAAUUAUAUAAUGUAAUAAUGGAUUGAUCAUAUAAUUGAGAGUGUGAGUACACCAUUUUAUGUUUUUUUUUUCUCUCUCUCUCUCUACUGGCACCUUCUCUUCAAGGUUUAAUCAUUUUUCUCAAUUUUGCUUUCAUUAACACACUAUUCUUUGAUUUAACAUAUAUUGACUUCAUGGAGUUUGUGAGUCAAACAGCCUAGAGUGAUCAAUAAUAAUACUUCUUGAAUUGUAGGGUUUAAGUUAUAGAUGCUAAUUAAUCAAUAUAUGUUUCAAACAUUCAUGUCUGUUUAAUUUAAGAUAUAUGGAUAUAUGUUAUUUGUUAAAAAGAAGGAUAAUACAUUUAUUUGGGAGGUUAUGCCUUUAGAGAAAAAAUAGCAUAUGUAUAAGAUUACUUGAUGUCAAAAUUCGUAUAUAUAGAGGAAAAUCAUAUAUGGUUUCACGUAAUAACAACAGUAAAUUUGUUUGAUAGAGGAAGAUUUAGUACGAUCGACCUUAUUUGUAAGACUUGCACACCAAUGUGAUGCUUGACAUACAAGUAUAAGUAGCAACAAUAAAUUUGUUUGAUAGAGAAAGAUUAGUACAACCUUAUUUGUAAAACUUGCACACUAGUAUGAUGCUUAAUUGAUAUACAAGUAUGAGUAGUAUAAGUGCAAUUUGUGGGUGGAAGAAUGAACUUAUCUUCCUUGGAGUUAUGUGGUUAUGACCUAGAUUAUAUUGUUAAGAUAUUGUUUCAAAGUAGCUUAGGAACAAUCUCUCCCUGCACAAGGUGUAUAUCUAAUUUCAUGUUAGGCAAAGGUUUGCCUCGACUAAGCAUGCACCUUCUCCUAGCCCAUUUUAGUCCUACUGUGAUGCUUUAGGUCGAGACAUGCUUCAUUAGUUAUUUUGUUAAUUUUGUUUCGGUUUCGACCAAGGUCGAUCGUGUUGAUUUGGGCUUCAUGACCUGAGUUAAUUCUGUUUUGCAACCUUCCCCUAGGAUACUUAUUUUUGGACAAGUGAUCUUGUUAUUUUAUUGGCUAUGUUGCUUACAUCCUUAUUUUACGUUAAAUGUAUAUUUUUAUCUAAAAUCACCUAUAAUAUUUAGGAGACCUAAAACGUCAUAUGGGGAUCCUUGCUAGGGUCCGAGGAUAUAUUACAUGACACAUAGGAUCAUCCAUCAUUUAUGCCAUGUGACGAUGUCUUUGUGUAAAAUACUUGAAUCCCAUAGUACAUUUUUCUCUAGGCCAACACUUUUGGUCCAAUGUAUAGCAUGUUUUGUGUCAAACUCUUGAUUUGAUUUUAAAAUGCUUUAUUAGCUUUUUCUACUGUGGUUGGAGAUGAAGGCGAAAACAAGUGUGCAAUUAAACCAUAUAGUUUAUUACAAGCAACUUGGAACUACACGUGUGGGGCAGUUUCUUCUUAGAGCUUUCUCCACAUUAGACUCUAAUAAGAAACGUACCUAGAUUGACUUAAAAAAAAAUAUUUGGUGAAAAAACUAAUUUAUGUUUAAGCUUUUUUGUGAAAAUUAUUUAAAAUACACUUAAAAAACUAUUUUGAGUAGCUUUCAAACCGUUUAAUUUAUUUCAAAACAAUUUAUUAUUUUUUAAUUAGACACUUCAAGAUCUAAUCCAAUUAAUUAUGUUUUACUUUAGUUACACCCAUUCUCUUUCUUUCUUCAAUAAUUUACAAAAUCAAUUAAUUAAAAGAUAUAUAUUCUAACUAAAUUAAGAAACUCGAAAAUCACCUAUUUUAAAUAUAUUUGGUUAUUCUUCGAAUAUUUUAAAAUAAUUAAUAUGAUUUGCAAAGAAACCUACCAUUCUUCUUUCACUAUUUCCAAAAAAACAAUUGAUCACAAUGCAGUUGUCUUUACUUUCUUUCUUUGUUUUUUUUAUAAAUACAUUGCACUAUAUUUAAGGUAUACACUAUAGUCACCAAAACCACAUUUGAUUUUUUAAUAUAUUGUAAUAUAUUGAAGGUAAUCUACUACCUACAUUCAUUAUUCAUAAUUUAGGAUAUGUUGUCUUUCGGGUUAUAUUUUUAGGAUAUUUGAUUCUUCGAACUCAAUCGUUGUCAUUUCACAAUGCAACACCAUAUAAUCUUAGUAGAUUUGUAAUUAACAUUAUUGUUCUCUUUCAUUGAAAAGACCAUCAUAUACAAUCAACAUACCUAGAUAUAUAUUAAAACAUAAAUGAUAUCAUUUCAUACAAUAAAUAGUAUGGUAUAUGGUUGAUGAAAUCAAUAUAUCACAGUUAUGCAUCUAAUAUACACUAAGAUACAUUAUACCCUAUAUGUUAUAAAUAAUAUUAGAGUAUAUAUGUAAUAUAAAUGUGUGAUAUUAACCUGCAUUAUAUCAGUAUAUUUUAAAUAAUAAAGUAAAAUAAUUUAUCAUGUAACGUCAAAUGAAGAGUGAUUUGAAGAGAAAACUAACAUAAAUAGAAAAAAUUGGCUAUAACGUUGUUUCUCUCCAAAUGCUAAAGAAUGAAUCUCAACUAAUUAUUGCAAUUACACUGAAUAUAUCUUCCCUCCAACAUUAGAAAUAUUAUGGAAAUAUUCAACCUUCAACGCCGUCGCAAAAAGGUAUUUUCAACUAAUCCUAUUAAUGAAAAUACUCCAAAAUUUGGACAAUUUUGAAAAUGCAUUUAAUAUCUACAUAUCCCUUGUUCUUGUAGCGGCAUUUGUGGGCUGGACUGAAAUGAUUUGGAUGUAUAAAUGGGCCCAUAAAACUAGAGCCAUUAGGUCAUUUCUGUGAGUCAAAAGGCCCAAUUUCUUCAUACUUUUUGAGCUUUUUCUAAAUAAAUAGGCCCAAAUUUUGAUUUUUUUUAAAUGAAUAAAAAUAGGUAAGGUUGCAAAUUUAGCCAUAAAAAUAGGAGUAACAUUUUUAAAAAAUUACAAAUAUAGAAAAAUUUGUCAAAUUCUAUCAAUGAUAUAAGUCUAUCAUUGAUAGAUUAUACAAAUUUACCGGUGAUAGAAGUCUAUAAACGAUGAUUUUGCUAUAUCUGCAAUUUUUUUAAAAUGUUGCUAUAUCAUUUAUUAUUAUUUCUAAAAUGUUUAUCGAUUUUAACUACCCAUAAAAUAUAUAUAUAUUUGACAAAGGACAUGAAAACAUGGUUCAUUAUCUACAUACGGAGUUAGAGAAAAUAAACUUUAGCUAGUUUUUUAAUAUACUAAUGAUAGUUGGAGGAUUGUAUCUCUAAUCUUCAAAAACAUAAACCAUGUCAAUAUUAAGUUGGAUUUCAAAUCUUAACAAAUAGAAUUAAAAAAAUGAUAAUUUAUUUUAAAUAACAAAAUUACUCAUAAAUAUAGUAAAAUAUUAUAAUCUAUUAUGAUAGACCACCACUAUCUGUGUUUAUCACAAGUUUAUUUUGAGUAGAUAUUUUGGCAACAAAUAGUUGUCUAUAUUAGUUUAUCGCGAUAAAUAGUAGAAUGCAAUAUAAAUAUUUCGUUCAUUUUGUUAUAUUUGAAAACAAUUUCCAUUUUUUGUACUAUUUAUAGGAAAUUUCUAUGGAUAGCAAUAUAUAUAUAUUACAAAACAAAGUCAUUCUUUUUAAUUGAAUAUAAAAAGAUGGAUAGAUUUUUGGUACGUUUUUUAAACUGUUUCAAUACUGUGUUAAUUUUAUAAUAUUUUAGUUAAUUUUUUAUUUCAUCAUCUCUCUAAAUAUUUAAAUUUAAAUUUUUAAUUAUUUAACUUAAUCUAUAGAGUAUCGAGUAUCGAAUAUGUUUACGAGCACAAGAGAUCUCAAUUCAAAUCCCCGCCCACUAGUUUAACUUAAUAACACAUUCUCAGACAUAAAAAAGGAAGAAAAUUUAAAUGGUUAAUUAGCAAACAAACUUGAGAAGAUUAAACUUCUAAACAAUGAAGUGUUAGUCACGUAAAUACCUUACCUUUUUCUUCAAGAAAAAUCUCACACUCCAUAAAUAUAAAACAAACCAUUUGAAAGGCCAAAAGAAAAAAGAAAAAAGUACGGCGCCGAAACAAAGGUAUUGUUCCUCUGUGUAAGCGCAAUCUGUGUCAACCACCCGACGUUUCGCGCGUUAUUUAUUUUCAACCAUCACUGCACAAGAGCUCCACAAUCUUCUGAAAUGGCGGAAUCAUCGUCCACUUCAAAGUCCGAUUUGCAAUUAGAAGAAAUGCUGGAUCGAAUACUGACGCGCUUGGCUUUGUGCGACGACUCCAAUCUUCAAUCCCUUCUUUUGAAAGUUCUUCCUGCCACAAUUUCAUCCCUUUCCUCGCAGGCCAUCUCAGUCCGUAACAAGGUUUUGUAAAUUGUUUAUAGCUGUUAUUUCUCUUGAAAAUUCGUGUGUUUUCAGUUACUGGGUUGAGCUCAAUUUUGAAGUUUGUGCUGUUGAAAAUGAUGUUAUUGUAAGUUUUUUAGUUUAUAAGCGUUUGGUGUGAUACACAGUUAGAUUUUCCCCCCUUCACGAGAUAUGUGGCGUUUGACAAUGAGCUAUGUAUUUGGCAUGUAUUAUGAUGAAUUUUCAUUGGCCCUUUUAUUUGCACACACAUCAUCUUGUUUUGAUAAAGAUACCUUCAAUCUUCACAUUAUCAACUCUUCUUCAGGCUCGUGAGUGCUAUGAAUUUAUUUCAACCGAAUUCUUUUUUAUUUUUGGAGCAGCCAAAUUCAAAUGGACUGUAUACACGAGUCUCGUUAAUAUAAGAAAUUUUGGUAAACCAGGUUAAUUUCUUUUGGGAUUUUGUAUUCUUAUUACAAAAUGAGCUUAGAAAGAAGUAUCAGUAGUGUUGAUUUCAAUUGGGGCAUGGCGAUACCCCUGUGGUUGUGCGCCCACAUCCCAAAUACAGUGCAAUGCACAUGGGCAUACACUUGGGGUGUGGACGAUGACUAGAGGCCGUGGAGGGUGGGGAACACGACGAUGAAAUGUGCCUGUUCGGAUUAAGGUUGAGUACUAUGGGGGCAUGACUGUGAACCUCAUUGGAUACAAGAGGUUGCAAUGCUGCCCAACACUCAAUUCAAUUUUUGCUUUAAGGCAGGUGGUAGAGGUUUGAGGCAUGGAUAAGGAUGCAUGUAGGAUUGUGUUGGGGGCUAUGGUGCCAAAAGCGUGUGACUCUCCAACCUGCCAGAGUGUUGCUCCAUAUCGAGCUAGGCGAUGAUUCUUUAAAAUAGUUUUGAAAAGACAUUUAGUAAUCGAGUGAACUCACAUUGUGGCUCCCUUUUACUAAGGUCGUUUGGUUCCACAAUUUUUUAAACAUGUUCGUCACAUAGAGGUUUUUUAUGAUGUAUGUACAUCACAGAGAUAUUAGUGCUAUGAUCGAGGAGUUCCUCCUCAAUUCACCUUUUAGGGAGAAAGAAAGGUUGUUUUUUAUGGUUUGCUAGGGUGUGCGUGGUAUUAUGGGUCUUGUGAGGUGAGCGGAAUUGUAAGGUUUUUAGGAGAGUGGAGAGGGAUAUGUGGGACUUGGGAAUUAUGGUCCGUAGUUCAUUCUCAGGUCUCUCUUUGUGCUUUGAUUUUGAAGACUUUUUAUAGCUAUUUUAUAAGUGGGAUUUCACUUAGUUGGAGUCCAUUCUUUUAAAGGAAGCUCCCCUUUUUCGUGGGCUUUAUAUGAACAUAAAUUCUUUCAUUUUUUCUCAAUGAAAGUGGUUGAUUUUAGUCUCUCUUUUGAAGGGUUUUAGGUAGUCAAAAAAUGAAAGAAUUUUCAAAUAUUAAGAGUCUUUAUCAACAUUUGUUUUAGUCUUUUUCCUUGCUGCAUUUUCUUGUUUAUGAUACAUUACAGCCCAAAGAGUUAGCUGUUGUCCAUGUGAUAUCAAUUUCCUUCUGAGUUGUCAUUUCUGUAUUAACCUCCCUUUUGCCUAUUGAACAUGAUAGGUUCUGGAGAUCUUGAGCCAUGUGAAUAAGAGAGUGAAACACCAAUCUCACAUUGGUUUGCCGUUGUUGGAGUUGUGGAACAUAUAUUUGGAGGCCAAUUCUACGUCAAUGGUCAGGAAUUUCUGCAUUGUGUAUAUUGAGAUGGCAUUUGAUCGUCUAGGUCCAAAGGUAUAUGCAUUUAUCUUGUCCAUUCGACACUUCGAAUUUUAUUUUGUUGAUUGGUAGUUGGGUGAAUUAGUUGUGCUAUCAAGUUCCUGACAUUUCUUGCACAGGAAAAGGUGCACAUGGCCCCUAUGGUUUUGGCAAAUAUUUCGAAGCUACCUUCUCAGCAUCAAGAUAUUGUUUUGCGGAUUGUUAUUAAGGUGGACUAUUCUAUCGAUACCUUUGGGUUUGUAGCAAUAUACUGCUGUUCAUAUUUAUAUCUUUUUAAAUGUUUUUUAUUAUCUAUAAAUGUAUCUUAUUUUUAUAUUUUUGUAUUAAUAAGAUGACCUCUUGGCUGAUAUUUGUUUCUUACCAUAUUUUGAUUUAUAAUCUUUUUAUCAUCUUUUGUCAAUUUAAAAAAAUGUCUUUUUUUGUUGGAAACUAAUUUGAUUUACUUUUUCAUUCCUUUUUCUUGUUUUCAAUUUCAAACGUAGUUUUAGUGAGGUUUUCCACAUUGUAAUUUACAUGACAAGAUGAUUGAAACUAUUAUUACUUGUGGAUUUUCGGGGAGAAAUCCAUCUUGUUUCAACUGCCUAGCAUUUCGUUAUUUUUUCACUUGUAGAUUUUUGGGCCAUAUGGAAGGUUAAGAACAACGUAUUUUUGAAUGAGAUAAAAAUAUGGCUGAAGUGUGUAUAAAAUCCAUGUUACUGCUUUAUGUGAUCUUGUUUAUUUGAUUAAGGAGUUUCUUCUGCUUCUUCGUUGAAUUGCUCACUUUGGUUUAUGAUGGGAUCAAGCCUCUUCACGUUUGAAAUGGAUUGGUUUUAUUUUUCUUUCUUAGUCCUUUUUUCCGUUCCUUUUCUAUGUACUUGCCGUGGAAAAUUGUUCUUUAUUGGUAUAAUUGGAAAAUCCACUUGGCAUAAUUUGUUUUCCUUGUACUUUGAAUUGUUCCCCUGAGACAUUUCUGCUCUUGAGCGAGGGUUAUUUCCUGUUUUCAGGUGAUGGGUGAAUGUCAUUCCCGUGAAAUUGACGAAGAAGUUUCUGCUAAAUAUAGAGCGCUGAAUAUGUCCCAGAAUCAAUUGCUCUUCCUUGACUUUUGUCUGCACACAAUGAUGUAUCAACCUUACUCUGAAAGGUUUGAAAUCUUUUGAGUCAAGUUUUUGUACUUAUGCAUCUAAAUACUUUAAUUUAAUGAAAUAUUACAUAAAACUUAUGCUUUAUGAUUUUUUAUAGUGAAGGAUGCCCGCCUGGACUUUCAAUUGCUCAAAUGAAACGUGUUACUGGAAAAAAUCCUAUAAACAACGAUGCACUUCUAUUGAGAAAGGUGGUUUAGUCUAAAUGAAACUUGACCAGUUGACCUGAAUGGUUUUUCCUAUUGUAAUAAUUGAAAAUUACAUGGCUACCCAUGCAUUUAUUUAUGCAUUUUUUUGCUAAUCAAUGAGGAAGCUAAGAUAUUUUAUGAUUUUUUUCCCAACAGUUGGGCAUUUUGAAUGUUCUAGAAGCCAUGGAGCCAGCUUCAGAGCUUGUUUAUCCCAUAUAUAUGAUUGCAAGUGUAGACUGGUAUGUAUUUGUUUCCCUAUAAGAAUUGACUGGUAUGUAUAUGUUUUGAUGCUUAGGGGGUGUUAACCUAGUCAAGGUCCGGGUGCACCUUCUGAUCCCCUAGUUUUUCUUUCGCUUGUCGAGACUUCUUUAUUACGCUCUUUGUACAAUUAUCUUGUACAUUGAAUUCUGAUCCACUGAAAUAGUUCAACAGAUAAACCAAGCCUCAAAAGAAAAGAUAAAUGAUCUUUUUUUUUUCGUUUAAAUACAAUUGGGAUAUUACAAAUUAAUUUUUAUUAGGUCUGAGAAACUGCGUUCAAGAAAACUGGUAAAAAAAUGAGGCAAAGUUUGGAACAGAUUGUAGUCUUAAUUUUACUCUAGUCCUUUUGCUGUAAUUGUUUUUAUCUUUGCAUUCAUGUUUCCUCUGACCUUGUUUCUCUGUUUGCCUAAAUAAAGUCACGAUGCAGUUGUCAAGAGAGGGGAGGAGCUUCUGAAGAAGAAGGGUUCCGCUGCUAAUUUGGAUGAUCGACGUCUUAUAAACAAACUAUUUUUCCUAUUUAACGGUAUGGGAAGUAACUUUGUUUAUUAGUUCAAUUAGAUGGAAUUAACUGACGGCUGCAACUAGUAAUUCCAGCUAAUAUACCACAUAAUUUUUUUUCUUGAUGAAACAUGAUUUUUAAAAAUAAGAACAGUCAUGCAAGCAUUUUUUUGGUCUGAUUAUAGUUUGUUUUAUAAAUGUUGUCCUAGUUUUCUGCUUUAUAUUUCUUCUGAUGAGCUAAAAUCAGCUACAAAUACAUGUUCCAAUACAUGUAGGUUCUACAGGUGCCGAAAAUAGUGCUUCAGAAUCUCGGGUGAAACCUGGGAGUAUUGCUCUGAAAGGAAAACUUAUGUCUCUUUUUUGUCGAUCAAUAACAGCAGCAAAUAGUUUCCCGUCAACCUUGCAGUGCAUUUUUGGUUGCAUAUAUGGUUAGAUAUUCUAUCUUUGAUUAGUUAAUUUUUCUAAAUCAUCUCAUUUGGCAAUAAUAUCAGUAUAUUUUUUGUCAUGUAUUCGGGCACCCAAAGGCCAAAAUAAGAAAAAUGAAUGACCUCCAGGAAGUAGAGCAAGGAACUUUCAAGGAUAUUCACUAUCGCUACAUUAAAAACCCAAACAGAAGCAUUCAAUCUGCAUAUUCCUCAAACUUCCUCCAUUUUCACUUUUACUGGCCUCCUGAUAGUUUUUCCAUGUUAUGUUGGUUAUUUAUCACUCUUAGAUUUUGUGUUCUAGACUGUUGAUAUAUUCAUUUCUAGACUAUUGAGGGUGCUAUAGAUAUGUCAACCUAGUUGAGAUAUUUGGGUGCAUCUACUGAUUCCAAAUUUCUAUGUUUCUGAAUUGUUGCUCUUUUAUGUCAUUAUUUUAAGCAUUGACCUCUUUUCAUUUCAUUUCAUCAAUGAAAAGUUCUAUUUUUGUUUUAGAAAAUAAAAAAGAUACUCAUUUCUUUACGGGUUCUAAAUCUCAUAUGUAGGGGAUGGCACCACAUCAAGGUUGAAGCAGUUGGGUAUGGAAUUCACUGUGUGGGUAUUUAAACACGUAAGGAUCUUUUUCUUGAAAUCUUAGAAGUUGGAAUUUAUUUGAGAGAAAAAGAAACUCUAAUUUAUGUGAUUUAAGGUUUGUGCCAUAUUUUUAUUUUUAUUAUUAUUUUUAUUAUUAUUCAUAUUAUUUAUUUUUAUAUAUUCUUAAGUAUUCAGAUCAGCUUACAUGCACCUCAACUAAUCUCACAAGAGGACUCGCUUGACCCUACAACACUUAGGUGUUAAAGAAACAUGUAGGAUAUUAAAUCCUAAAUAGAUGACCACCAUAAGUUGAACCUAUAACCUCGAUCUUAGUCCUUUUAUCAAGGUUAUGCCUUACUACUUACCACCAGGCCAACUCAUGAUAGUUUGAAGUUUCUCCAACAAAAAUUUCAUAUGUUGGGUCUAUUGAAAGUUGAUGAUCUUGGCUCCAAAAAUACAGUCCUAGAGACUUCAUUUGUCAAUUAAAUGUUUCUUAUCUUAAAGAAACAUAGGGACUAUUGUUUGUGCUUGUUUUCACUUCUCUAUUUUCUUUUUUGGAAUUCAAUAAUAUUCAUGGGAAGAAGAACACAACACAGGAAAAUAAUGCUCAUCUUGCAGCAUGGUUAAUGGAAAAUUAAAAAAAAUCGGUGUCUCUUGUAUACAGUAUCUUGCCGACCUAGAAGAUAUCGCCACCCUCCUCCUUCAUACAGAUCUUUUCCAUCUUGCCAUCUUAAUAUUUACCCUCUAAGAUUCAGCCGACCUUUACUCACAUCAAGUGUUGUAACCACAACCUCUCCACCACGCUGAAGAGUGCCAUAUUGUCUGUCUAAAAGAGGAUCCAUCAUCUAUGCAGUAUCUUGGUGUCUCUUGUGCCAACGAGUCAUGAUUGAAAAACUUUCAUGUAGAGUAACUAUCAUAUUGUCUCAGACUUUUGGUGACUCUCACAUCUCAAUUUGUUUGGGUUUUUGCAACUCCUUUUUGUACUCCAUUCCUCAUAGUGGAAUCAGUUAUUUUAGCAAGACAACUUUGCAGAUUUCUUCUUCUCUUCACCACUUCAACAACAAUUUGUUCUAAUUCCUAAUCUUAUUUUACAUCUUUUUAUGUUUGUCAGAAGAUUCUUUUAAUAGAUUAAGUUCUUCCAUCAUUUUUCAUCCUCUCCCCAACGGAAGGUAGUAUUCCCGUUCUUCUUUCUUCCUUGCGCUUUAUUGCCACAAACUUUCACAAAUCUUUAGGAUAACUCCUAUCAUUCUCUUUUUCUGUCCAAGAGGCAAAAACAUAGUUUGGUCUAAAUUGGCAAUUGCAUAUACAACUGGUCAGAAGAAAAGAUCAACUCCAUGCUUUUACCAAAACAAUGAGCUGAUUCCAAUCCUCAAGACAAAUGGUAGAUCAUGUCUACCCCUUUCGAAUCUUAGCGCUACUUCUGAUUUCUCUUCACAUGUGACACUCACACUGUACUGCCUGUAUACAACGCCAGCUGCACUUCUUAUACUUUCAACCUUUCAUUUGUCAUUGUGAAACAUGGAUCCGUCAUCCGUUGUGAUUUUAUUUGUUUAUUUUAAUAAGAAACAAAUGAUUGACUCAUAGGAUUUUAAGUUUGUUAAAUUGAUAAAAACAACUGACGGUAAGAUGAGUCAUUUAAGAGACUGAUUUCUCACCUCUUGAUACUGGAAUCUGUCACCACCUCUUAUUCUUCAUUGCUUCUCUAUUUGUACUGUAUUUUGUCCGAUUUAGUAUGUAUAAGAAAAUGUUGCAGGCAAAUGGCGAUCAACUUAAGCUUAUGAGCCCUGUUAUACUCAACGGAAUUCUGAAGUCACUUGACGGGUAUUCAAAUUCAGCAUCAGGUCCAUACUUAUGAGGCUAUCUAUCAUAUUUUAUGUUUUUGUGUCUUUCACACCUUUCUAAUAUUUGAUAUUGUAGUAGAACCAUAACUAUAUUGAUCUGAUCCACGCAUUUUACCAGAUUCUACUACCAGAGACACAAAAACCUUUGCUUUUCAAGCAAUUGGAUUGCUUGCUCAGCGCAUGCCUCAACUAUUUAGGUUAGCCCCUGUCUAGUGCUUGGUUGUCUGAAUUUCAUUUAUGUUUCUUUUGUGCAUUUUAUUUCAGCAGUUCGGAAUAAAUCUUUCUAGUUAGGGAAAUAUUAUGAUUAUUAUUUAUUAGCAUGGUUAUUAGUAAUGGCAUAUAAGUAAUUAGCCAAGGAGUUUGUUAGGUUCAUUAGUUAUAGGAGGUGUUUGGCCCAAGGAUUUGGGAAGUAGGGAGUUUAGGAGAGUGAAGUUGUGAGCUCUACUCAUAGUUUCAGUCCAGGAGUUCGCAGGUCCCACCAUGAAACAACAUCAUUUCAUACCAUAUUAACUCUUUACGUAGCCAGUGGGCCUCUAGGAGUUCACAACUCUCUAAAUUUCAUAAUUCUAUAGAGUUCACAAGUCCACUUUAUGUCCCAACCACCACUUGAUGCUCUUGCAUUUCUUGUGUUCUAGAAGCUUUCUAUUUAGAAGGUAUCCUAACAAGCUGAUUUUCGUCUUCACUAAUUGCAGAGAUAAAAUUGACAUGGCUGUUCGUCUUUUUAAUGCUUUGAAAAUGGAGGCCCCAUCUCUUCGUUUUGUUGUUCAAGAGGCGACCAAUUUGCUUGCUGCUGCUUAUAAGGUUUGCUCUAAGAUAUUAAUAAAUGGUCCGUCAUUAGAUAGUCUUUAGCAUGCAAUUACUUGCAUAAGUGAGUGAUUGGAGAUACUUAUUUUGUUCGAUAAGUGGUUUGGAGAUAAACUCUUGUGCUCGAAUCAAAGAUAAACUCUUAUGCUCAAAUCAUUUUGUGGCAGUUUUCAUAUAUCUUUCUAGGAGCUCUUCUUCAUUAUUGGAAGGAUUUUGUUGUCCAUUGUCUGAUGGGGAAAUGACUAAUUACUCUUUAGGUAUCAUUUUAGUUGACGGGAGCUAUUUUCUUUAGUUUGGCUACCUUUUUGUGGCAUGGUUUUUUUUGGAUGCUUUUGUAUAUUUUUUUCUUUUCCUCAUUGAAAGUGUGGCUGUUCAUUAAAGAAACAAAAAAGAUCAUAUCAUUAUUCCGUAUCUGAUCCACAGGAGGCUCCAACUACAGUGUUGAACGAGUUAGAGACCCUUCUUCUUAAAAAUUGUCAGGAGGUACAAGUUUACAUCUACUUUUUGCUUCCCUUUUUUCUUUCUUGUAAUCAAGUCUCAUUAGUUUCUUGUUGCUUCUGAAUCGAUUUCUAAUUCUAUAAUGCUAAACAGGAAGAAGGUGAAGUGAGGUUUUGUGCUGUGAGAUGGGCUACAAGGUUAUUUCAUUUGCAACACUGUCCAAGUCGGUUUAUUUGUAUGCUUGCUGCAGCAGAUUCCAAAUUGGACAUUAGGUACCUUACCACUCCAUUUUGAAAUAUUAAAGUUCUAUGGCAUGGAAUGCUAAAUGAUGUGUGGAAAAUGUUUUGCGAUUCUUAAUAAGAACUCUAAGUACAAGAGAUUUAUACAAAGAGAGCAAUAAAGAAGAAAUAAUCAGGGGAGUCCUAGGGGGAUCAGGAGAUGCACCCAGACAUCUCAACUAAGUUGACACCCCCGUAGCGCCAAGCAUCAUCCCAAAAAAUAAACUUCAAUGCAAACAAACCAACAAAGAAACAACCUAAUAACAAUCAACCUAAUACAAGGGUCUAGAAAAACUGGAAAAACAUGACUAGAAAAUGCAGAAAAGAUCCAAAAAUACAAUCUCAAAAUUAAAAUUUAAACAUGGCCACACCUACUGAUCCUUUCUCUCUUUCUCCCCCUCAUUUCUUGGAUUCCCUAUUAUUCUCAUUGUAUAGCUCUCUUGUACAUUGAGUUUAUUAAUAAUAAAAAAGCUUGUCUCCUUUUCAAAAUUUUUUUUAAACAAGGCCAAAACUUCAACGCUUCAAAGCUUUAGACUGUGAUAGCUGCAAUGCAGAGAAAUUGAUACAGCAACGGUUAGGCUUGAUUAAGAAAGGCAUUUCGGUUGAGGUAAAUAUCUUGAAUGGAAUAAUUAGCGAACUCCUUUUUUAAGGAACACCAAGCUGCAGCAUUAAGAUCUACUGCACGCAUAAUUUCUGCCCUCGAGAUUUUUUGGGUAAAAUCAGACUCGACAGUAGCUGAACCACACUAGUGCUUAGAGAACGAUCAAAAGUCCAAACUAAAUUGAACAAGGUGAAAAUCCAUUCCCUGCCAAAGGAAGAGACGAGACAGUAGAAGAAAAUGUGAUAAAGGAUCUCACUAGCCUUCAAGCAUAGUGGACAAAUCAAAGAAGAGAGACAUUUAUUGGAGGAUUUCUUUUGCAAAAUUUCUGAAUUAUUGAGGGACACGAUGACUAUAGUCCAGAUCAAAAUGUUAAUUCUCCGAGGGCUGAUUGAUUUCUAGAUUGCUGAAAAAAGAAGUUUAUCAAUCUGGGAGGCUGUUUUUAGGUGAGCCAAAAGAGACUUAAUGGAAAAUCGUCCAUGGGGAUCAAUGGACCAUGAUCUAAAGUCAUUGGAAUUAACCACUUUUUCAGUUGAGAGGAGGGUAGAAGUAACUGAAAUUCUGCGAUUUCUUCAUCUUUCAAGCUUGAUUUCUUCAUCUUUCAAGCUUCUUUUAAAGGCCAAUGACCAAGAUGAAGUAUCAUGGUCCCGAUGUGCUGCUACUGACACGGAGGGCAAAAGAGCAAUUCUAAAGAGUCUAGAGAACUGCUCCUUGAAGGGGUGUUACCAACCCAAGAAUCUGACCAAAAAUCAAUUCUAUGACAGUUACCAAGAUUAAAAGAGGCUAAAGAGUCAACCAACCUCCAAACUCUAGCAGUGCUGACCCAAGGGCAUCUUAGGCUGUUAUCGGACUUCUCUUGAGUGAACCAAUCAAAGAUCUCCUUACCAUGGAUGCUGCUAAUUAUUUUCCUCCAAAGAUUUGAUUCUUCUUUCGAGUAUCUUGAACCCCAUUUAGCAAGCCUGCAGUGUUGUGAAUUUUAAUUCCUCCUAGGCCGAAACCCUUAUCUUCUAGAGGAGAUGAAACCUUGUUCCAGUUAGCAAGGUGGUUGAUUUUGCUACCGGCAUGACCUCCCAAAAGAAGUUCCGCAUGAUUCUCUCCAAAGAGGCAGCCACACAUUCAGGUAUUGAAAAUAAAGAAAGGUAACAAGUGGGAAGACUAACCUGAACUGAGUUGCAUAAGGUAUGUCUUCCAUCUCUAGAGAUGUAUCUUUUCCACAUAUCUAGUUUCUUGUGAAUUCAAUCAAUGACUGGUUGCGGAAACACCUUUUGUCGAGGAUAGCCUUCCAAAAGGAAACCUAAAUAUAAGAUCGGUAACUUUUAUGCCUUGCACCCUAGUAGAUUUGCUGUUUGAAUCAAAUCAUUCUCUCCCACGUUAACACCACUAAGGGCAGAUUUCUCCUAGUUUACUUUAUGCCCUGAACACUAUUUGAGUAAACUUAUGGCUUCCUUAAGCUUAAAAAUCAUCUUCCCAUCAUACUUUAGAAGAGUGUCAUCGGCAAAUUGAAGAAAAGAGAGAUGGAUAAUGUCUUUGCCAACAAGGAAACCUUCAAACUGACCGCUGCUAUGAAGCUUGCUUAUGAUUCCUCCUAGAACCUUGCUUACUAAGAGAAAUAGGAAGGGGGAGAGGAGUCCCCUUGGCAGAUACCUCUAGAUGCUGUAAUUCGGCCUCUUGGCUUACCAUUAAUGAAUACUGAAAAUUUUGGACUUCUUAUGCAGCCCAUUAUCCAUGAAAUCCACGUGGAACUGAAUUUUUUAAGGGACAAUAUCUUUUCUAGAAAAAUCCAAUCCACUCUAUCAAAGGCUUUUCAAGAUCAAGUUUUAAAAUCUAGCAUUUUUUCCUUUUUGCCAUGUAGUCUUCCAUUGCCUCGUUAGCAAUUAAUAUAGGCUCAAGAAUCUGCCUACCUUCAAUAAAAGCACAUUGGGAAGGACUUACAAUUGCAUCCAUAACUUGUUUCAAACGUUCGGAGAGAACCUUUGCAACUACCUUGUAUGUUAAGGUAGUAAGGCUGAUUGGGCGGAAAUCCUUGACUAGAGUCGCGUUCUCUUUUUUCUGCACUAAACAAAUGAAAUUUUUUUGAAUGCAAGCGUUUAAUCUUCCAUUUUUGUGGAAAUCAUCCAUUAAGGAUUUGAAAGUAUCCUUGAAAAUAGACCAAUGUUUGAGAAGGAACUCCGCUGUGAAUCCAUCGGGGCCCGGAGCUUUAUUGCUGCCAAGUGCCUUUAAAGCUUUUAAAUUUCCUCCACUGAAAAUUGAGCAACAAGAGCUACGUUCCGAAUUGAGGAGACAGAAGGCCAUUCGCUGUUAAUGGAAAUGAAUCUGUCCCCUGGAAUUUUUUUAUAAAGUGUCUUGAAGAAAUCUAGCACCAGCCUUUCAAUAUUGUGGAACAAAAAUGACACAACCCCAUUAUCAUCUUUUAAUUCUGUAAUGAGAUUCCUUCUUUUCUUUGCAUUUAAAAAGCGGUGGAAGAAACUUGUGUUCUCAUCACCCAAAGUCAACCAAUUAAGUUUGGUUUUUCAAAUGUAGUUGCACUCUUCACUUUGGUAAAUACUGAGCAAUUCAGCUUGCAGAGCUGUUCUAGUACCCAAUUCCUCUUCAUUUAGCCCAAUCAAUUCUGCCACGGAACUGUUAUAAAUUGAAAAUAUUGAUUUUCCUGUAGUUGACCAUUUGAUUUAGAAUUUCAUGCUUCAAAGAGGAGAUACAUUAUUUUCUGUUUAGAUGCUGAAGAUAGACUCAGAGAAAAUUUCUCAUUCUUAUUCUCCCAGGUAUAUCUAAACUGUGGUAGCGAGGAAGAAUCCACUGAUCGCUUGUUUCUGGGAUGGUCUUUGGCUUCAGUUAGUUGGUCUAGACUCUAACGUUUUUUAUAAGACUUAAUGUAUACAGUAUACACAAUAAUAUGAAUAUUACCCCUCCAAAACUCUUACCCAGUUGCUGUAUUUAAGGAAAUGCUAGCAUUUUGUGGACUCCUUCAACUGAAACCAUUCUCUGUGAUCUAUAGAUUAAAAGAAUCAAUAGGCUCUUAAAGAUAGAAAGAGAGCUUAACGUGUAUUGAGGAGUGGUACAGCACAUCAUUUUCUCUUGAGUAACAUUUCACCAAACUGUUGGGAAUUUACACGAGAUAUAAAUAAAUGCGGAAUAGACUAAAUUAUAUUUCAAAUUCCCAUUUCAUAGGUUAGAGCCAAAUAAGCAAUCGACUAUAUCGUGACUACGUUCGGUCUUCUGCAACUGCAGGUUCUACUAUAAUGCAGAUUGAAAAGACACCCCAAACAUGCUUACAAAUCUCUCUUCCCAAAUAACCCAACAAUAACCAAGUACUAACAAAUUGGUAACUUGAAAUAAACAAUAAAAGAAACCCUAAACCCAAUUUCUCACUCCCACACUAAAAUAACACACUGGAAAAAUUCAGUCUGGUGAUAUCUCUAAAAUAACACACUGGAAUUAAAAUUUGGUGGGGUUGUAUUUCUCAACUUUAGGCAAGAAAAGCUUACGCUCUGUACUUCAUGACACACAAUAUGUACACAAAAUUUCUUCUAAAAUUUAUCUUCUUUCAAUUAAAACCUUUAAAUUAACCCAUUAGAAUACUUGCUUAUGGAAGUUUAUUAGAAGAGAGAUAAGCAACUUUAUUUUCUUCUCCCACCACACUUAUCUGUUUUUACUUAAAAGGAAAAAUCACCUUCAAUUUUAAUUGGCAAGCUUAUUGGUUAAGUAAACGAGUUGGGCCAAAAUGUGGGCUUGGAGUUUUGGCUUCAAUUCCUAACACAAACUUCUUUGAGGCUCCCUUGAAAUGCCCUUAUUUUCAAUUUGGUUCCUUUUGUAAAUUUCCAUUUUUGAGUGCUCGGGAGGAGAUUCCUUGUUCAGUUGGUCCCAUUUUCCCUCCUCGCAUGCUCUCUCACUCUUUUUAUAAUGAAUGUUUUUCUCUCUUAUCAAACGAAAACCAGAGAUACAUUUGUUUCAUGCAGUACGCUUUUCACAUUCUUGUCUUAUCAUCUUUUUUUUUUUUUUAUUUCCUUUCUCUUAGCUUCUUUCUUUUCCCAUUCUCUCGAUGUUUAUUGAUGGGACUCAAUUUCUUAAAUUACUCUUUUCUUGUUUUAGGGAAAUGGCCCUUGAGGGUCUUUUUGGAGCAAAAGGUGAAGCCCGAACGACAACUCAAACUCAUGACGUUAAAUAUCCAAAUUUUGGGGUCAUGCUAGAUUACAUUAUUAAGCAGCAGCCAUUGUUGUUAUGUUCAACUGAGUUGAGGGAACAACGGCUUCUUUUUUCAUCUCAAACGUACAUCGCAAUGAUAAAAUUUUUGCUAGAAUGCUUUGAGGCAGAGUUGCAGUAUGAUGAUUCUUCUGAACCGUUAUCUACUUAUGAGUCUUCUGUGGAAACUAUGUGCUUAUUUUUAGAACAUGCUAUGGCAUAUGAGGGCUCUGUUGAGUUGCAUUCUACUGCUUUCAAGGCAUUGAUUACCAUUGGAUCUUAUUUACCAGAGGUGGGUUGCUUUUUCUUAAAACUAUCUUCGGCCAUAUUCAUCUUCACUUUGCUUGAUGUUCUUGUGGUGGUGUGGUUAUUCUGUACAGGUGAUAUCAAAACAUUAUGCAUCGAAGGUUUCCUGGAUAAAGAGUUUUCUUAGUCACAUAGAUAUCAAUACUCGUGAAUCUGCAGCACGCUUACUUGGAAUAGCUUCUUCUGCACUGACAACAUCGGCAUCAUCAUCUGUUAUUGAAGAACUAUUGACCACAAUUAAUGGAGCACAUAAUUUAAGGUGGAAGCAGUACUAGAUGGAAAUGGAGAUUUAAUAAUCAUGUUUCUUUCUUAUGUAGGAAACAAAAAGGUUAUAUUUCUGUCUUUUGUAUGUUGAGUUUAUUCUUGGAUUUGUUUAUUCUGCAGGUUUGAGACUCAGCAUGGAUUGCUAUGUGCUAUAGGAUUUGUUACUGCAGACUGUGUUUCCAAAACACCGAUAGUAAGUUGAUUAAUUUCUCUUUCUCCCUACCAAAUUUCUUGUCAAUAUUUUAUUCUGUGUGUUCGCUCGCUUUUCCUCCCUUUCCUUCUUUCUUUCUUCUGACAGGAAGAUAUAAAUUUUUGUUGCUGGAUGGGAGAUGAAUUUUCCGUGUUGCAUAAAAUUACCUCUGUAUCGUGGGUUUUUAUUCCAGAAGAGUGUCAAUAUAUUCUUUCAGUUUCUUUAUUAAUCAAUAGAAAGUUUGUUUUAAUUUUUUCUCCUUCUUUUAAGAUUGGACUUCUUAUUGCAUUUUGUAAUCCUUGUUUUUAGUUAGGCCCUAUGUUAUUUGUACAUUCUCAUCAAUAUCCACAUAUUCUCUAGUUCCUUUCUUUCUUUCUUUUCAUGAAAAGCUUAACUUUAAUUUAGGAAUUGAAAAUGCUUAGAUUGCCAGCUCCAGCUCCAGCUAUCACUUUCACCUUCAAGCAAAAAGGUGCAGAACCAUCUGACAAGUUUAUCCUUAGUUGUAAGAAAAUGACAGAUGCCUUGAAAAUUAGUUGCUAGGAGAAACCCAGAUAUUAGAAUAAAAGCUUAUGGUGCUCAAUAUUUAAUUCUUCAGAACAUUAUCCUUAAAAGAUAAAUAUUUUUUCCCCAACCAAAUAUACGACUGGCUUAGAACCAGAAGUCAGAUAAGGCUAUUCAAGAUACUCGUCAAUAAAUUUCACCAUUUUGUCAUAUUUAUAUUUAUUGGUCCCGUUUAUUAUAUCAUAUGCUAUGCCAUAUCUAUUUUGAAUAAGAGAGAUUAUUACCAAUAGAUUCUACUUAUAUUUAUGUUAAUUAGAUCUCGUCUCAAGUUUAUUUAUUGGCUAGAGAUGCAGUCGUUAACCUUAACAUUUUCACAGAUUACUCAGACAUUGCUUGAGGAUACGCUCAAGUGUUUGGUUGGCAUUGUUAAUUCUGAGACUGCAGUAAUAUCGUCGGUGGCAAUGCAGGCCAUUGGUCAUAUAGGGUUGCGUAUACCAUUGCCACCACUUAGUAGUAAUUCUGAGACAGGUAAUCAUAGUUAUCCCAGUUGGGAGUUUUAGGGUUUUGUUGUUCAUGCUUUGUGGUUUUUUUCUAUGUACUUAUAUACUUGACUAAAGUGAAUGCAGUUGAUGUUUUGAUGACUUUACGUGACAAGUUGAGCAAGCUAUUGUUGGGUGAUGAUAUUAAUGCAAUUCAGAAGAUUCUUUUAUCCAUUGGACAUAUAUGUUUUAAGGAAUCAUCAUCAACAUGUCUAAAUGUUGCCCUGGAUUUAAUUUUCCAUCUGUGCCGGUGCAAGGUGAAUUUGAUCUACCUGUUAUUUUUACUUACCUAAGCUUGUUUUUAUUUUUAGCAAAUGGGCAACUAGUGUAAUUUAAUCGUAUUUUCUUUUAUCCUAAUCUAAUUAGAAAGGUAGGAACUUCAUUGUGUCCAUUCUAUGUGAUCAUAUAAUUAUCACAUUGAACUUUUAGGUAAGUAAUAUGAGAUAGGAGUUCAAACUAAAACUUUUAGGACAAAUUUUAUUCAUAUUUGUAUUGUAUCCUUGUGUUUUAUUUGUUUUUAUUUCUUGGGUGUUAUUUCUAUUUUGCUCUUUUUUUCUUUUCUCAGUCUACUCCUAUGAAGUCUAUUAUUUCUCUUCUCUGAUAAUCUUUUCUUCUUUAAUAAAAAAUGUUGUUUCCCUUUUUAGAAAAAGUAAAAUUUUGUCGGAAUCAAAUCUUCAUUCAAUCUUGAUUCUUAUGAUUUCUCCCCCGCGCUAAUAGUUGUGCUGUAAAGUUCUCCUUGUUAGUUGAGGACAACUUAUGGCAAGUUCUUCCUUGUAACAUCCUAUUUUGUAUAUGAUCAAAUCUUAUACAUUAUGACUUCGUGCACUGCCAAUUUCAGGUUGAAGAUAUUCUUUUUGCUGCUGGGGAGGCUUUGUCCUUUCUAUGGGGUGGUGUUCCUGUGACUGCUGAUGUGAUUCUCAAAACCAAUUAUGCAUCUCUUUCUUCUGCAUCAAACUUUCUUGGGGGAGAUGUGAACUCAUAUUUGCUAAAAUAUAAGUGCAAUGUAGCAGGAACAGAUGAAACCACUGAAAAAUUUCAUGCUAUGGUUAGAGAUUCGAUAACCAAAAAACUGUUUGAUGAUCUCUUAUACAGUACAAGGAAAGAAGAGCGCUGUGCUGGAGCAGUCUGGCUUGUAUCACUUGCAAUGUAUUGUGGUAAUCAUCCAGCCAUCCAGCAAAUCCUUCCAAAAAUUCAGGUCUGUGUCUAAUAAGCAUAUUUAAGGGAACAUUUGGGGUUGAGAUAGAUCUCUUUUUCGCUCCAGAUGUUUGGAUGUAGAACUUCUCGCUACAGUAUUUGAAUUUGGUGAUUUUGUUGACUUUUCAAUUUAAUUAUUAUUCCAUUGCUACAAACUGGCCUGUGAAAUGAAAGCAAUAAUUCAAGUCACAGUAAAAUCAGCAAAUUUAAUUUAUGAAUUAUUAGUUGCAUCUCUGACGUGUUUUUAGUUUUUAGACUUGGCACUGAAAAAAUUUAAUCUUGAUGAUUUUAGAAUAUCUUGUCCAUUCCAGAUUCAAAAGAUAUAUGUGUUUACCUGUAUGCAGGAAGCCUUCUUCCAUCUAUUGGGUGAGCAGAAUGAACUUGUACAGGAGUUGGCUUCACAAGGAAUGAGCAUUGUGUAUGAAUUGGGUGAUUCAUCAAUGAAGACAAACUUGGUAAAUGCUCUUGUCGGCACUCUGACUGGUUCAGGGAAGAAAAAAAGAGCAAUUAAAGUAAGCCAGUGUUUUGAUCUCUAUAUUUGUUGUCUCUUUUCUUUUUCCUUUCCUUAGGUACUCCCUUUUCUAUUUUUGGUGGUGUGAAUCAGAGACUCACAUAUUUAUUUAUCAGCUUGUUGAAGACAGUGAAGUUUUUCAAGAAUCAAUCGGUGAGAAUCCUAGUGGGGGAAAAAUAAGCACCUAUAAAGAACUUUGCAGUUUGGCGAAUGAGAUGGGACAACCAGACUUAAUUUAUAAGUUUAUGGACCUAGCGAACCACCAAGCAUCAUUAAACUCCAAGAGAGGUGCUGCGUUUGGGUUCUCUAAGAUAGCAAAGCAAGCUGAGGAUGCGUUGAAGCCUUAUUUGCAUUCAUUGAUUCCAAGGCUUGUUCGAUACCAGUAUGAUCCUGACAAAAAUGUGCAGGUAUUUCAUAUGCAACCUCACAUGCCUUUGAUGAAAUCAACAAUAAAUCUAGUUCAGGAGUUAACAAUUGAUCAUAGUGUUUUUCAUUCAAUGUUAUGAUUUAUUAUAGGGCAAAUAUAGCCAAAUAAACCAAAAUAUUUUUACAAAAUAUAGCAAAAAUAUCAGUCUAUCUAUUAUGGACCACAAUAAACCAAAGAUAAACCACUAUCCAUACCUAUCUAUCAAGAGAGACACACAAGUAGUCUAUCGAGGUCUAUCAAAAUUAUAUGUUUUGCUAUAUUUAUAAAUAUUUUUAGAAAUUUUGUCAUUUAAAAUAAUUUUCCUUUAUUAUAUGGAAUUUUGUUUGGUCAGGGGGUUGAAUGACAUGUGGUACUAACUGCUCAGGAAGCUUUACGCUUUUUUCUUUUCAUCCCAUCUGUUAAUAUAUAGCAAACUGGUUGUUUUUGUUUAUGUAGUGCAAUUUCUUGAUGUAAUUAACAAAACUUGAAAAAAAUAAUAGCAUAAGAAAAAAUUUCUAGUUGCUUUAAAAUUAGGGCUAUUUUUAAAUAUAGUAAAAUGAACCAAAAUAUUUUUAUCAUAAGAAAAAAUUUCUACAAUUGAUUGAGAUGAUAGACAUCUACAGUGGUCUAUCUUGGUUUAUCACAAAUAGACAGACUAUGAUAUUUUGUUAUAUUUGUAAAUAUUUUCAAAAGUUUUACCAUUUACACAAAUUUCCCUUCAAACUAUUUUCAUAUUAUUUGAAGUUUAAACUACCCUUUUAGUUUUAUUAUAACUAUAUAUAUUAACAAAUAGUGUGAGCUUACAACAGUAUUCUUUCAUGUGCAAAUAUACUUUAAAAUAUUAAUGAUGAGAAAAACCUCUGUUGUUAAUUUUUUAAACAAAGUGUAUGCUUUAAUAUUAUUUUACAUAAGUAUUGAUCAACAUGAUUUAACCGUGCAAAUAGCAUAAUCGUUUUAUUAUUUAUUAAAGGAUAGAAAUAUAUAUUAUCUGUGGAAGGGCUUUAGGGUAGGAGUUUUGGAACUACAUUUUUGUCUAUCUAACCUUUUAUAAAAUCUGAAACUAAUACACUCCUAUACUAAACGUAACUGGAUUUGGGCAUGUUGUGGUUGAAUUGUAGGGGGUUUUUUACUACUUUAUUUUAUAGUGAAGUUUAAGUGUUAUUGUGGUUGUAGUUGGGCAUUUUGUUACUUGAUGUUUGGUAUGUUGUAGGUUGAAUUUUGUGUGAUUUGUUGGUUAGUUGGUUCAUAGGUAACUUUUUGUCUUUAUUGGAGAAUAUAUUAAGGUCCGAGUUCAAUAUACUGAAAUUAAAAGGAUGAAGUGGACUCGCUAAUUUAGUAGAGUCAAAUUGAGUUUUAUUCCUUAGAAUUUAUAUUUGCCAAUAUAUAAGGGACAGAAGUCUAUGCUAUUGAAGUUUUAUGAAUAAGAUAAAUAUAAACUUCAAAUUAUGUGAAUUUUUUUUAUAAGAAACAAUUUCAUUGAUGAUAUGAAAUUACAAAAAGAGAAUAAACCCUAAGACAAAAUAGUAAUUAGAACUUAUUAUUUCAAUAAAAAGCUUUGUUUCCAUUUUACAUCAGAAGUCCUACCAAAGAUAUUUAUAGUAUCUGUAUAAAAAGAUAGCCACCUGUUAUUAUUAAAUUCAUUAGGGACAGAGGUUUUUGGAUAAUGCAGAAAUCAUGAUAAAGAAAUUCAAUUUUAUUUAUACAUUCACUCUAUAAUCGUGUUUCACAAAAGAACUGAAUUACACAAAUAGUUAUAAGAAAAAUAAUGACUCUAUAACAUGGAAUUUGGUUUUCUAUUUGCUUUUGUCCAUGCUAAAUUCAUAUAUUUGGUAAUGCAUCGACUUUAAGCCGCCUCUUUUAAAUCACUUCAUUAUGGUGAGAUGAAAGUUAAUAUGUUUCUAGCAUACGUUGUUUCAUUAGUCCAACGUGUGCACUACUUUUUCAUUAAGUUACCAUCCUCAAAAGUUUGGCAUAAAAUAAUCUUUAUUCUUGUGAUUUUCUAGGAUGCAAUGGCACAUAUUUGGAAAUCACUAGUGGAUGACUCGAAGAAAACAAUCGAUGAAAAUUUAGAUCUUAUAAUAACUGAUUUAAUAACACAAAGUGGAUCUAGGCUUUGGCGGUCACGAGAAGCAUCUUGUCUUGCCCUUGCGGACAUUAUACAAGGACGAAAAUUUAGUCAGGUAGCUAUCAUAUUGGCUAUAGAUAUCCUAAGAAUCAUUUUAGUUGACAACAUGAGUUUCUUCAUGUCGGCAUGCUUGUUUAAUGGAAAGUGAGAGUGGAUGAAAUUUGGUUCUUAGCUCAGAGGUGUAAAAGUCUUCAAGUUCCAUGGGUGCUCUCUGCAGGUCGCUCAAACUGAACAAAGGAUUUUACCUUGUGAAUUAUGUUUUCUUCUCCAGCAGGAUUUGACAAUAGCAUAUACAACAUAUAUUAACGAAUAUAAUGACAUAUGAAUUAAAUUUUUUUAUAUAUUACAGCGACUUAUCUGGUGUUAUUCAACAUUUUAAUUAUUUUCCUAGAUUUGGACACUCGUUUUUCUUCAAAUUUUUUAGCUUACAAUUUGGUUCAGAAUUUGGAUAUAACAAAUCUCUCAUUGAAGAUCAAGCAAAAUACCUCAACAUCAAUCUAAAAAAUUCCGUUUAGUCAUAUGAGAUCUAUGGAUAAUUUCUUUCUCAUUAUUAAUCUUUCUAAGGCUUGCAGGUGUGGCAUUCUUUUCUUCUUUAAUUUUAAAUGGCAUACAUUAUUAACUCUUUUACAUGUAGGUAGAGAAGCAUCUGGAAAAGUUAUGGUCAGUAGCAUUUCGAGCCAUGGAUGAUAUUAAGGAGACUGUUCGAAACUCUGGAGACAAGCUAUGUCGUGCCAUUACUUCAUUAACAAUAAGACUCUGUGAUGUCUCUUUAACAGGACUGGCAGAUGCUAGUAAGGCAAUGAACACUGUUCUCCCUUUUCUUCUUUCAGAAGGAAUAAUGAGCAAAGUUGAUAGCAUUCGCAAAGCAUCCAUUGGUGUAGUGAUGAAGCUUGCAAAGGUUAGUUUUGCUUGAAUUCCUCUUUCUGUGUUUUAUAUUUCUUUUCCAGCAGUAUCGUAAGUUUAAGCCUAGGAAGAAAAAGUUGAUCUUGAUGUGUCAAUGUUCAAAGAUUAGGAUUUGAUUCUUCAUUUCAACGAAGGCAUAUAUUAUUGGCUAUUUUUUUCUUCUUUUUUUUUUCUUUUUCUUUUUUAAUUCUUGAACAUUUGUGAGGCUGUGCUUCUUUUCUGAAGACCCUGUUCCCUUUUCCUUAUUUGCAGGGUGCAGGAAUUGCUAUUCGUCCACAGUUAUCUGAUUUGGUCUGUUGCAUGCUCGAAAGCUUAUCUAGCCUUGAAGAUCAGGGACUCAACUAUAUUGAGGUUGGUUUGGUUAAAUUGUUUGGCACAAAUUCUUUUGUAAGCUCUAUUGCUUUAGAUGUAUGACUGUGAAUUCUUUUAUAAGCUCUAUUUCUCUAGAUAUGUGGCUUAGGCAUUAAUUCAGAAGUUGAGGUUAGAAAGCUGAAAUACUUGGUGUAUGUUGGAUUAUAGAAUUGAGGUAUUCCCUUUGGAAUGCUUGGGUGGUUUGCAUUAGUAGACUAGGAGUAGGGGGUCAUCUGAAAGGCAACAGAUCUGGAGGUUAAUGUUGCAUUUAUUUGUUUUAUGUUGUUUCCCUUUUUCUAUUCAUAAUUGCUGCAUUUUACUCAGAUAUUGUUGGAAAAUCUUUUUUUUUCCCCUUGAUUACUAUUAUAAUAUGGGAGUUUUCUCUUGUUUGCUUUUUGGCCAGUCGCUAUUUCUAUAAAAAUAGCAGAAGCAGAAGAGAUUAGGAAUUUAGGAUAAAGUUCAGAUAUUCCAAGGUGUCAGUAAAUCCAUUUCUGUUUUUUUGAAAAAGAUGCUCAGCAUCCAUGACGGUCGAUUUAAUAGAGUUGAAAGUUUCUGUUACACAUUCUUUGGGUAAAAUUUAAGAAGUCGUCUAUACUGCAAGAGAUCAAUCAAUUACCAUGGGUGCCUACUGAUUAUCAGUGUAUAAUACAUUUUCUAUAAGAACAAGCCACUUGUCACAAUCGCAACCUUCCAAACACGAUAUGAGCGAUUGUGCGGCACUUGUUCGAUCCUUUCAACAAGUCAGCCGAUCAAAAUCCGCAAGUCGCGGACAAACUUAACACACGAUUUAGCCUCCACUCACGUUUUUGGGAAAAUAUUUUAGAAAACGUGAAAGAGGAUUAAAUUUAUCAUUUUCUAUAAGAACAAGCAGCACCUAAAUGAAAGCCCAACUGAUUUGAAGAAAUUAUGUCUCCCUUUUGACUCUUGAGCAAAGCACAAGCCAAAACACACAUUUGCCUACCUAGCUACACCAAAUUUAUAUUUGUCAUCAUUUAUUGUAACAAACCAACUUAAUAUAACGCUAAUUAAAAAAAGAAAAGAAGUGUACAUUUCGUAUCAAUUUUUGCUGGAUAUUAUCUCAAGUUAAAAAGGUUUCUGUCUACCUAGAAUGGAUUUAAGAUUAUAUCAAUGGAGAAACAGGUAGUUUUCUGAAGGCUGGAAACUCAUUUUGAUAGCUUUAGUUUCACAGAUUUCACCAUUUUGUUAUCCUUCAACUUUUCUAAUGUCUUGCAUGGUAGCUUGUAUCCAUUUGGUAAUAUGGUUUCCAUGAACAUAAAGCUCUAUGGAAAUUUUCUUGCUAGUCCUUUUCCUUUGGUUUCUAACAUUAAACAUCUUUUCUGAAAAAUGUUGGAUUGAGGAACAAGUUUUUUUGUACAAUUUCCUCUUCUUUAUUGGGUAGUUGUUUCUUGUAGAAAAGAAAAAAGAAAAAAUUUAAUUGUUUUAUUGAAAUAUUCGAGUGGGUAUAGAUUAAGUUCAGUGUCAAAAUCUAGGAUCGUUUAAUUUUUUCCAUUUUUGGUAGCGUUACUCAAUUUCUUGUUCUUUACAGUUGCAUGCAGCAAAUGUUGGAGUGCAAACAGAUAAGCUUGAGAAUCUCAGAAUUUCAAUUGCAAAGGGAUCUCCUAUGUGGGAAACUCUAGACACAUGCAUAAAAGUUGUGGAUGACGAAUCACUAAACUCAUUGAUUCCUCGACUUGCUCAUUUGAUUCGGUCUGGAGUAGGCCUCAACACUAGGUCUGCAUGAUGCAAAACAUCUCAACUUUUAUUCAAGAACAGUUUGAGUUUUUCCUUUCCUUCUAGUUGGUGCAUUUUUUUUUUUCCUUCUAGUCUUAUGUUCAAAAUACUUGGAAGUCGCUAAUACCUUAUCUAGUGGAUGGGAUUAUGGAAUGAGAAGCGUGAACUAGAUCUGUACAUAAAGUUAUGGCAGUAGGGGUGUGGAAGAAGUUGAAUAAUGUAUGGUGAAUAAUAGAGGAUAGCGGAGGAAUAAAGAGUUCACAAUUCCCAAAACUGAACUUUGUCAUUUUCAUUGCCCUUCGGUAUUGUUGUGUGUGUAUGUAUGCAUGCGUGUUUUUUUUUAAUUUUUGGUUUUCUUUAACAGGGUUGGUGUUGCCAACUUCAUGACCUUAUUGGUUCAAAAGGUUGGUCCUGAUAUCAAACCAUAUACAAACAUGCUAUUGAGGUUGUUGUUUCCGGUGGUCAAGGAGGAGAAGAGUGUUGCUGCAAAACGUGCCUUUGCUGCUGCCUGUGCAGUCAUCAUGAAAUUUUCAGCACAGUCUCAGGUUCAGAAGUUAGUCGAAGAUAGUACAUCUCUUCAUACAGGGAACAGGAAUGACCAAAUUUCCUGUGCUCUUUUGUUGAAAAGCUAUUCAUCCAUGGCCUCAGACGUUAUGAGUGGAUAUCUUGCAGCAGUUAUUCCAGUUAUUUUUGUCUCAAGGUUUGAAGGAAACUUUUUUUUAUUAGAGUAGCCUGGCUAAACAUCAUCUUGGUUUUCGUUUUCCAUAUUGUUUCGUUAAUUCAUACUCUAAUGUACAUAGCAUAACAUUGCUUGGAGAAUCUGUAAGGAUGCCUGGCCAAAAGAAUAAGCUGCUUUAAUAUCUAAAUGAUGACUAAUAUCAAUUUGCAUUAAGGAGUUAUCUAAACUGGUUUGCCAAAUGAAAUAUUGUGAAGCCUAGUCAAAUUUUUACCUAUUACGAGUUUCAUCUGCUGUUUCUCACUAAGAAUAUCAAUGUUCUUUUGACAUAAUAUGGCAACUAAUGUUCCUUUGCGAUCACCCAGCAGGUAGUGUUCCUUAAGCAUGCUAGUAUUCAAUUUACUCUUUCUUUUUUAAAAGGCAACAAGUCUCGCUAUUUUAAUUUUGAAAAAUAGAGAGAUGAAGCAGUAUUCAAUUUACUCUACAUUUCAUGUAUUGUUUGGACACGGAUGCCGAAGUGCCAAGGGAUUUCAUUCCUCAUAUGGUGCAUUUUGGCAACACUUGUGCCUAAAGGAGCUAUAUGUCACUGCUCCGGUUCAAUAAUUUUGUAGCAAGGAAGAACUAUACCUUCUCUUGAAGGAUGAACCCAAAUUUACCAGUAGACCCCUCUGUCAAAUAUUUUAGAAUGAAAAAGGAAAACCUUAAUUUUCUAUGCUCUAACUAUGAAGUUUUUGGCCUCCAAUAUAUAUAUUUAUUAUGGCAUAGAUGAUAGAGCUAAUGCGAUAUGUAUUAUUUGUUUAUGCCUUUCUUGUAUCAGAGAAACAAUAGGGUUUAGGUUUUCUCCAUUUACUUUCCAGUUACGUUUUUGGUUGGUUGGAUAUGCUAUUUGUUUCAUAUCCUCUUAUUAUAAAGAGAGUGAUGUUACUUUAAUAGAAAAAUUGUAGUGCUUGUGCGCCAUAAGAUUUACCAUCUUAAUUUUUUGGAUAAGAGAUUUACUGUCUUAAUUGAUUAAGGAAAUUGAUGGGUUCAUCCUUCCUGUAAUCAUUUAGGUUUUAUUUACUCUGGGAUUGAAAAUGUUAGUUUAUGAUCAUUUCUUUUCUUAUUUAGAUUUGAAGAUGAUAAGCAUGUUUCUGGAUUAUUCGAGGAAUUGUGGGAAGAAAGUACUAGUGGUGAACGUAUUACUCUUCAAUUAUAUCUGGGAGAAAUUGUUUCUCUCAUAUGCAAUGGAAUUACAUCAUCAUCAUGGAGCAGUAAAAAGAAAGUAAGUAAUGUUCUUUUCAACGGUAACUCUCUUUUGUUUUUUAUUAUUUGAUGUUUUGUCUUCUCCAUUUUUCAUUCUGCUUCUAUCUUGCAGUCAGCACAAGCAAUGUCCAAACUUUGUGAAGUUUUGGGGGAGUCCAUAUCAUCCUAUCAUCAAGUACUGCUCCAAUCUCUUAUGAAAGAAGUUUCUGGUCAUAUAUGGGAGGUACAGUUGUACGAUUUUACUUUAUUACGCAAAAGAAAUAUGCUGUUUGAUUUUCAGGAAUAGGUCCAAUGUUGAAGAAAACUAAUGAUGAAAUUUUAAAGUUCUAGGAUAUUUUUUGCAUUUGACAAACAUAGCAAGAAAUUACUUCAUUGUGCGGGAGUAGGUUGAAGAGGGUUCUGGUAUUUUAAUAGAAUAAUGGAAAAAGAAUCUGAGCUAAUAGGUCCUGUUUUUGUUUCUUGCUGUGACAGGGAAAAGAAACCAUCUUGGAUGCACUUGGUGCUAUUUCAACUGCUUGCCACAAAUUAAUUUCUACUGCAGAUCCUGCCCUGCCCAAUGCCAUUGUAAACCUGGUAUCUUCCUCCUGCUCCAAGAAAGCAAAGAAAUUCCGAGAAGCCGCUUUUGCUUGUCUUGAGAAGGUGCAUACUAUUUCUAUUAAUAGAGGUCCCAACAUCUCAAAAGUAUUGCUUAUGUUCGUUCCAUUUUGGUUAUUACUUGUGUUGUGUCAUCUACAGAUGUUAGAAUUUCUUAAGAUUUAGCUUGGAAUUCAAUUCAUAGGAAAUACAUAAUGAAAUGGAGACUUGUUUGUUUGUUUUUUUAAACCAGAGCAAAAAUUUGAACACCCAAAAUGGCUAAAAAUGAGGCAUUGAUGUUACUUUCAUGAUGAAGUUUUACAGAUGUUCGAUAAUUGGUUGUGGAGAUUUUUUUUUCUUUUUUUGUUUACUAAAUGUAUUUUUUCUAUUUGUAAGGUCUCAAUAACCAUGACUAUGUUAGACUCCCCAAUUUUACACGCAUAUAAGAGAAGGGGCAAAAAGGGGAGUGCAUUGGAUGGGGAAUAAAAGAGCCACCGGGAUGGGAGUGAUAUAUACCUGAGGGCCCACUUGCAAGGGAAUAUAUAAAGAUAGUGUUUUGGGGUUAGCAUUUUUAGGUUUUGUUUUGGAAAGGCUGCUGUUGGCUUUAUUAGGAGAGGUUUUCAGUCUUCUUCAAGGAGCUGGGUUAUUAUCCCUUGUUGCUUUCAUUUUCCUUAUUUGAUAUUUCUAGUUGUUUGUUAGAACUUUGAGUUUAUUAUAUCAAUAUAUUGCAUAGAGAUCAGUAACUUGAAAGAGAUCUUACUCGAAUUGAAGAAGAGUGUGGAGCAGCUUGUGGAUGGCAUGAAAGAGACUAACUCCAGUGGAAGGAAGGAGGAAUCGAGGAUGUCUGAUGCUUUGGUACUCAAAAUGAAAGGGAAAACGGAGGAAGUGGAAACAGGUCAGACCGGUGAGCAGGGGUCAAUGAACAAGAGCGAGUAUGAAAACUGGAGAUGCCGAUCUUCAAUGGGGUGAAUUCUAGGUAUACCGUGUGGAAUUUCUUUGAGAUCAAUGAGCUAGCAAACAAUGAGAAAGUGAAAGUGGUAGUGGUUAGUUAGCGGGUUCCAAUGGAGUAACAACCAGAAAAAGGUAACCUCAUGGGGAGACUUAAAACAGAGGAUGUUUGAUCAUUUCCAACCAACGGGAGAAGGGAGCCUUGGAGCUCGAUUGGUCAGAAUCACGCAAGAUGGGACUUAUGCCAUAUGAAGAAAUUUUGAACUAUCCCCCCUUCCCAACUGAAAAUGGCAGAGUGUGUUGAUGGAUGCCUUUGUGGUGGGGUUGGCAUCGGAAUUGAAGGCAGAUGUGGUUAGCAAUCAUCUAAGAAACUUGGAUGAGUGUAUGAGAGAGCCCAACUUGUUAAUGACCAUAAUGUUGCCCUAAAGCUGGCUUUGAGUGAAUUAGGGAUCCAUAGAUCAAAUAAGAGUGAGGCCCAGCCCAACAGGGCCUAGUUGGCCCAUACGAAAAAAAAAGUGGAGUGAAGGGAAAUAAGAAUCAAAUGUGAUAGGUUAUUAUAACUACACAGAGGAACUUUGAGAAGAGGGAACUGCGGUCAAAAGGUUAUCUAACAGUGAACUAAGGACACAUCUCGAUAAAGGACUGUGUUUCUGGUGCAAUGAAAAGUGGUCACAUGGCCAUAGAUGUAAGGUUCGAGAGAACAGAGAGUUGGUGUUGCUCAUUACCAACAAGGAAGGAGAUCUGGAAGAAGAACCAACAAUUGAAAUAGGGAAACUGGCCAACACGAGCUCAUCUCAACCGGCAACUGUAUGUAUCCGAGAACAAGAGGUCUCAAGUUCAAUUCUCCCCACCCCCAAGUUGUAUUACAAUACCUUUUCAAAAAGAAAAAGAAACUGGAGAAACUGAGACCGUUGAGUUGAAGGUGAUGGAAGUGGGAGAUCAAACGAAGAUUGGUCUAAGCACCCUUCAUGGUUUCACGGAGAAAGGAACCAUCAAAAUAAAGGGGAAGAUACAAGGGAGAGAGGCAGUGGUGUUGAUCAACAGUAGGGCAACCACAACUUCAUUCACCAAAAAAUAGUAAAGGAACUUGAACUACCUGUCACAAAAGGAACGAAGUUUGGAGUGACUCUUUUUUUGAAAAUGAUACAAAAAUCACUUUUAUUAAUAUUGAAAAAUAAAGAGAUAAAGCUCAAUGUACAUGAGGGGUUAUACAAAGAGCAAUAGGGGGAGGGAGGAUCAGCAGGCACACUCGGGCAUCUCAACUAGAUUGAUACUCUCUUAGCGUCCUCAUCACAUCCAAAAAGCAACAAUACAAGAUCAAAACAAAAAGCCACAAAUACAAGGCCAAACAAAAUGAUAAAAUAAUCUGUCCAAAACAAAAUCAUAAAUCAUAGACAGCAGGCCGAGAACAAAGAAGAAUAAGCCUUGAUUGAGCAAAAAACUAUUUGAAGCAAAGGGCUGAUCUGGAAGUUUUGAUGAUCAAGGAUUUCAAGGUGGAGAGGUAGUAAAGGCGGGCCGAUUUAACACAAUCUCCUGCCAAAGAGUAAUCCUGAAAAUCUUUGGGUAGAGAACACAAUGAAGAUGCAUUCAAAGAAUCAAAACGUUCCAUCCAAUUGAAGGUUUAUCAUGGAAAACUCUUUGGUUUCUUUCAAACCAGAUUUCAAAUUAGAGGGCUUUUACUGCGUUUACCCACAAUAAAUCAGAUGUCUUCUUCUUCAAGGCUGGACCGGCAAGAACUUGAGUCACAUUGUUCUUUAAAUCAUGAUCAAAAGCCCAACAAAUAUGGAAUGCUUGGAGAAGACAGAACCAACAUUUAGAUGCAAAGAGAGUCAAAUAAAAGGUGCUGAAUAUUUUCCAUGUUACCAACAUAAAGGGGGCAGGCAUGAGGUGAGAGGACAUGGGAGCGAAGUUUACUUUGAAGUACUAAAGCACAGUUUAAUUUUUCAAACAGCAUAAUCCAUAUGGAGAUAUUUACCCUUCUUGGACUAUUAGAUUGCCAAAGCCUUUUGUACAAAGAACUUUCUAAAGGAGAAGAAGUCGAAAGAUGUUUAACCAAUGAUUUAAUCGAGAAGGAACCUAAGGUUUCAAGGGACCAAAAUUUUCUAUCCGGAAAGGAGGCUGGCUGUGAGGAGGAGAUCUAAAAUAACAAGGGCUGAAAGUCUAUUAUUUCCUCAUCAUUAAGCAAUCUUCUGAAAUAAAUGAUCAAGAGCUGGUAGAAGAGUCCCAAUGAUAUGAAACUGACGCAUUUGGAUUGAGUGCAAUCCUAAUUGGAAAUUUACACUCCAAAGUGAUAUUGUUCAUCCAUGGGUGCUUCCAAAAUAGAGUUAUGCUGCCAUCACCUAAUUUGAAGAGAGCAAUAAAUCAAGUUUGGAGUGACCAUAGGAGAUGGAACGGCCAAUGUCAUAGAAGCGCAAGAGACGUGUCAAAGAAUUGAGUUGGAACUUCCCGAGCUGACCAUUGGGAUGGAAUUCUUAGCCAUCAACCUGGGCAGGUUGGAUGUGGUCUUAGGAAUCCCAUGGCUGUGCUCGACAGGAUUUAUGGGGGUGCAUUGGUCCUCAAAGUAAUUAGUGUUCAUGAUGGGAAACAAAACCGUUAUCCUCAAGGGAGACCCUGCAUUAACCAUGAUCGAAUGCUCAUUGAAGACAAAGUCAUUAGCAAUUUCCCUCUUUUCACCUUUAGAACAAGGUGCAUUUUGAGCCAGCCGGUAAUGUUAGACGCCCAAUUUUACACACAUAUAAGGGAAGAGGCAAAAAGGGGAAUGAAAGAGGUAAUGGUAGACCCCCAAUUUUACACACAUAUAAGGGAAGAGGCAAAAAGGGGAAUGCACUGGAUGGGGAAUGAAAGAGCCACUGGGAGGGGAGUGAUAUAUACCUGAAGGCCCACUUGUAAGGGGACAUAUAAAGAGAAUGUUUUGGGGAUUAACAUUUUUAGGUUUUGUUUUGGAAACGCUGCUGUAGGCUUUAUUAGGAGAUGUUUCCAGUCUUCUCGAAGGAGCUGAGUUAUUAUCCUUGUUGCCUUCAUUUUCCUUGCUUGAUAUUUCUGGUUGUUUGUUAGAACUUUGAGUUUAUGAUAUCAAUAUAGAGGGUACUUUCUCUAUUUUGGCUUGUUGGGAUUUUUCUGUUUCUCAGGUUUGGGGUCCUAACAGACUAUUAUGGGAAUGGGUCAAAAUGUCGAGUUAGGUUUGUGUAGUAACCUGUGGUGGUUAAUUGGUGCAUAGUGUUCCUCACCCCCAUUCUUCCGACCAGACCUUUUCAUUUGAACUGGAAGUUCCUGUAGAUGGAAAACUACCUAGAACUAUUAAGUAUGAAUAAGUACUUUCUGCCCUAUCACUUGUCAGAUGUUCUAUGAACCAAAAAGGUCAAAUGCUUUUUGGGCAAACUCAUUAAUUGCACCUUACUGCAUCUUUCUUUGUGUUUUAGUUAUUAAAAAUUAUUGUCUAGAAAAGCUGAACAAUUAAAGAACAAAAGACGUUAACACAUAAUGUUCCUACGUUAUUCAACGGCACCUUUAUCUGUUUUAGUUAUACAUUGGUCCUGAAAUAUUGUUAGUGCAUUUAAAACAGAGUGGCUAGCCUACACUUAUCUUCCAUCGGUGCUUUUUCAGGUUCUAAAGGCCUUUGGCAGUCCCCAAUUCUUCAAUAUGGUCUUCCCAUUGUUAUUUGAGACUUGUAAAUCAGCGGAUUCUGGACAGGCAUCUCUGGGAGGGGUUGCCACUAAAACAGGUUCUUACUUGCUACCAAAUUUUCUGUUUCUGUAGUAAGUUGAUUUGUUUCAUAAAUUUGUCUCCCGCCAUGAGUGGAAGUCAGAUCGUUAUUCUGGUGCCUCUGUCUAUGUAGAUAAUUAUUCUGUAUAUAUUUGAUAGAAACACAUUCUAAGUUUUUGUGAUGAGACAAGUUUAUGUGAAUAUGUUAGAAAAAGGAAAGAUAUGACAUGGGAGCUCCUAGAGGAGGGUAGACUACAAUAACUAUAGCAUCAUUUAAUACUCCUACAUUUUUUUGUUCAACUACAUACAGAGAUGGAGAUUCAAACAUAUCCUCCAAUUUUUUAGUUCUCGAGGAUAUAUGCCUUAAGGCCUUAAUACCUUGAGGUUGGCUAGUAUUUCUGUUUCUAUCCUAGAACAUAUCCUCCAACUCUUUCCAACCUAAUUUUCUACAAAUUUGCUUGCUAAAUUCAGUCACUUAGUUUUAUUCUCUUGUUGAAUAGGGAACCACUACGAAAGAGUUUGAAUGAGUUUCUUAAUCGAUCAAGGAAAGACAAAAUUAUUCUAAAAAGUAAAAAGCUAACAAAUGGAGGGUUUCUUCCUAUCAUUGCUGCCACAUAUUGUUGCCCAUGUUUUCU